GGUGGGGUCUGCGACUGCACCCGCUAUCCCAGGCUGUGUGCAUCCACCUGUGUGGUCACCGAGUGCCUGUCAGCAUGUGCGCCUGUGCUUGCGUGUGGGUCCCCAUGGUGGCACCCGUGCCCGUAGUCAUUCGGCCACAUGUGCUUUUCCCCGUGCUCCCCAGCCUGGAAGAGCAACACCUCUCAACCUGAAGCUCAGGCCCAGACUUGCAAUUGGGCUUAACUUCUCUCUUUCACUCACAUUCCACAUCCAUCCACGAGCAAAGCCUUGUGAGCUCCUCCAAAGAGACCCCGAAUCUGACCUGUGUCACCAUCUUACUGGCCAAGCCACCAUGAUGUCCGCCUGGAUCACUGUGGUAGCACAUCACUGUGGUAGCCUCCAAGCUGUUCUGCUUUCUCUACCUUUUUCCAUCCUCCUGAUGGUCCAGUAGGAGUCAGAGCCCUCUCUUAAGACCCUAUUCUAAAUCAAAUCAUGUCUGACCCUGCUUUCAACCUCCAGGGCUUCCUGCCAUUCUUUUUUUUUCAACAUUCCAGAUUGCUACCACAGCCCACAAGGUCCCUUUCUGAUGGGACCUUGGACACCUGUCCCUUUGGCCACAUAACUCCAGACCUACUGUACUCUUAUUCCUCACCUAAGCCCAGAAUGCUUACUCCUCAGGACCUCUGCAUUUGCUGGUCCCCUCUGUCUGGAAUGGUCUUCCUCCCAGAUGUUUGCGUGGUUUGAACCUCAGUUAAAUUCAAGUCGUUGCUUCAAAUGUUACCUCUUUGGAGAAACCAUCUGUGACCAUCUAAUAAAGAGUCUUCCUAGUUCUAG
Neofelis nebulosa (Clouded leopard) is the source of this 813-nucleotide long non-coding RNA. RefSeq lists it as uncharacterized. The transcript is spliced from 2 exons. Lineage: Eukaryota; Metazoa; Chordata; Mammalia; Carnivora; Felidae. The record is from RefSeq and is a predicted model, not a curated record.